This 301-nucleotide ribosomal RNA is filed under the name uncultured bacterium. Its description in RNAcentral is "partial 16S ribosomal RNA". It matches the Rfam family "Bacterial small subunit ribosomal RNA", at positions 509 to 807 of the family's 1533-position model. The record is from RNAcentral.
CAGUAGCCGCGGUAAUACGUAGGUGGCAAGCGUUGUCCGGAAUUAUUGGGCGUAAAGGGCUCGCAGGCGGUUUCUUAAGUCUGAUGUGAAAGCCCCCGGCUCAACCGGGGAGGGUCAUUGGAAACUGGGAAACUUGAGUGCAGAAGAGGAGAGUGGAAUUCCACGUGUAGCGGUGAAAUGCGUAGAGAUGUGGAGGAACACCAGUGGCGAAGGCGACUCUCUGGUCUGUAACUGACGCUGAGAGACGAAAGCUAGGGGAGCAAAUGGGAUUAGAUACCCCUGUAGUCCCUGUCUCUUAUAC